ACUCUCUCAGCAGGUAGAACGUGGGCUCUGCAGCACCAGAAUGACUCCGGCAUCACUCCAAAGGCAGAGGCCAGUGCCGCUAGAUGUAUAGACACUUCUGCCUAUACAACAUCCCCACAACCUAGAGCAAAGGGGGUUUGGAUUGCUCUGUAGCAGGUGAGAUGCGACCGUUGCAUGACAACAUCGCUUCAGAGACAUCCGAAGGAAUUUGAAGAUCUAGUCUGCAGUCUUCUGCACAUUGACCUUGCAAAGUCCCAUUGAUCCCAACUUCCACUUUUCAGAUGCAAUGAACCACGGAAGAGGAUACAGUCAACUUACCGGAUAGGUAUCCAUCCCUUUUUC
This is a non-coding RNA of Podarcis muralis (Common wall lizard), 342 nucleotides long. NCBI's taxonomy places the organism in Eukaryota, Metazoa, Chordata, Lepidosauria, Squamata, Lacertidae. The record is from RefSeq and is a predicted model, not a curated record.